RNAcentral lists this ribosomal RNA (495 nucleotides) under uncultured bacterium. Its description in RNAcentral is "partial 16S ribosomal RNA". It matches the Rfam family "Bacterial small subunit ribosomal RNA", at positions 28 to 505 of the family's 1533-position model. The record is from RNAcentral.
GAUGAACGCUGGCGGCGUGCCUAAUACAUGCAAGUCGAGCGAACGGACGAGAAGCUUGCUUCUCUGAUGUUAGCGGCGGACGGGUGAGUAACACGUGGAUAACCUACCUAUAAGACUGGGAUAACUUCGGGAAACCGGAGCUAAUACCGGAUAAUAUUUUGAACCGCAUGGUUCAAAAGUGAAAGACGGUCUUGCUGUCACUUAUAGAUGGAUCCGCGCUGCAUUAGCUAGUUGGUAAGGUAACGGCUUACCAAGGCAACGAUGCAUAGCCGACCUGAGAGGGUUAGCGGCCACCGUGGACCAGGGACAGGGCCAGGACUCGAGGGGGGGGCAGGAGUGGGGAUUUGUCCGAAAGGGGCGAAACCCAGAAGGAGCACCGCCGGGUGAGUGAUGAGGGUCUUGGGGUGGAAAAACUUUGUUAUGAGGGAAAAAAAUAUUUGUAAGUACCUGUGCACAUUUGGGCGGCACCGAAGCAGAAGGCCGCGGCAAACUACG